RNAcentral lists this ribosomal RNA (111 nucleotides) under Escherichia coli. Lineage: Bacteria; Pseudomonadati; Pseudomonadota; Gammaproteobacteria; Enterobacterales; Enterobacteriaceae. The record is from RNAcentral.
UGGCGGCCGUAGCGCGGUGGUCCCACCUGACCCCAUGCCGAACUCAGAAGUGAAACGCCGUAGCGCCGAUGGUAGUGUGGGGGCUCCCCAUGCGAGAGUAGGGAACUGCCA